GACGAACGCUGGCGGCGUGCUUAACGCAUGCAAGUCGAGCGAUGAAGCACCUUCGGGUGUGAAUUAGCGGCGAACGGGUGAGGAACACGUGAGAAAUCUGCCUUCAACUUUGGGAUAACUCCGUGAAAACGGGGCUAAUACCGGAUAUGAAACCUGCGGGCAUCCGCGGGUUUGGAAAGUUUUUCGGUUGAAGAUGAUCUCGCGGCCUAUCAGCUUGUUGGUGAGGUAAUGGCUCACCAAGGCGACGACGGGUAGCCGGCCUGAGAGGGCGACCGGCCACACUGGGACUGAGACACGGCCCAGACUCCUACGGGAGGCAGCAGUGGGGAAUAUUGGGCAAUGGAGGAAACUCUGACCCAGCGACGCCGCGUGCGGGAUGAAGGCCUUCGGGUUGUAAACCGCUUUCAGCAGGGAAGAAGCGAAAGUGACGGUACCUGCAGAAGAAGCACCGGCUAACUAUGUGCCAGCCGCCGCCGUAA
This 479-nucleotide ribosomal RNA is filed under the name uncultured bacterium. RNAcentral's name for it is "partial 16S ribosomal RNA". It matches the Rfam family "Bacterial small subunit ribosomal RNA", at positions 28 to 523 of the family's 1533-position model. The record is from RNAcentral.